Molecule: transfer RNA, 66 nt
Filed under: Phelsuma guimbeaui
Lineage: Eukaryota; Metazoa; Chordata; Lepidosauria; Squamata; Gekkonidae
Description: tRNA-Val
Source: RNAcentral
CAAGAGGUAGCUUAUAACCAAAGCAUUCAGCUUACACCUGAAAGAUGUUAAAUAAAACCCACUUGA